AGCUCGAUGAGUAGGGCGGGACACGUGGUAUCCUGUCUGAAUAUGGGGGGACCAUCCUCCAAGGCUAAAUACUCCUGACUGACCGAUAGUGAACCAGUACCGUGAGGGAAAGGCGAAAAGAACCCCGGCGAGGGGAGUGAAAAAGAACCUGAAACCGUGUACGUACAAGCAGUGGGAGCACGCUUAGGCGUGUGACUGCGUACCUUUUGUAUAAUGGGUCAGCGACUUAUAUUCUGUAGCAAGGUUAACCGAAUAGGGGAGCCGAAGGGAAACCGAGUCUUAACUGGGCGUUAAGUUGCAGGGUAUAGACCCGAAACCCGGUGAUCUAGCCAUGGGCAGGUUGAAGGUUGGGUAACACUAACUGGAGGACCGAACCGACUAAUGUUGAAAAAUUAGCGGAUGACUUGUGGCUGGGGGUGAAAGGCCAAUCAAACCGGGAGAUAGCUGGUUCUCCCCGAAAGCUAUUUAGGUAGCGCCUCGUGAAUUCAUCUCCGGGGGUAGAGCACUGUUUCGGCAAGGGGGUCAUCCCGACUUACCAACCCGAUGCAAACUGCGAAUACCGGAGAAUGUUAUCACGGGAGACACACGGCGGGUGCUAACGUCCGUCGUGAAGAGGGAAACAACCCAGACCGCCAGCUAAGGUCCCAAAGUCAUGGUUAAGUGGGAAACGAUGUGGGAAGGCCCAGACAGCCAGGAUGUUGGCUUAGAAGCAGCCAUCAUUUAAAGAAAGCGUAAUAGCUCACUGGUCGAGUCGGCCUGCGCGGAAGAUGUAACGGGGCUAAACCAUGCACCGAAGCUGCGGCAGCGACGCUUAUGCGUUGUUGGGUAGGGGAGCGUUCUGUAAGCCUGCGAAGGUGUGCUGUGAGGCAUGCUGGAGGUAUCAGAAGUGCGAAUGCUGACAUAAGUAACGAUAAAGCGGGUGAAAAGCCCGCUCGCCGGAAGACCAAGGGUUCCUGUCCAACGUUAAUCGGGGCAGGGUGAGUCGACCCCUAAGGCGAGGCCGAAAGGCGUAGUCGAUGGGAAACAGGUUAAUAUUCCUGUACUUGGUGUUACUGCGAAGGGGGGACGGAGAAGGCUAUGUUGGCCGGGCGACGGUUGUCCCGGUUUAAGCGUGUAGGCUGGUUUUCCAGGCAAAUCCGGAAAAUCAAGGCUGAGGCGUGAUGACGAGGCACUACGGUGCUGAAGCAACAAAUGCCCUGCUUCCAGGAAAAGCCUCUAAGCAUCAGGUAACAUCAAAUCGUACCCCAAACCGACACAGGUGGUCAGGUAGAGAAUACCAAGGCGCUUGAGAGAACUCGGGUGAAGGAACUAGGCAAAAUGGUGCCGUAACUUCGGGAGAAGGCACGCUGAUAUGUAGGUGAAGUCCCUCGCGGAUGGAGCUGAAAUCAGUCGAAGAUACCAGCUGGCUGCAACUGUUUAUUAAAAACACAGCACUGUGCAAACACGAAAGUGGACGUAUACGGUGUGACGCCUGCCCGGUGCCGGAAGGUUAAUUGAUGGGGUUAGCGCAAGCGAAGCUCUUGAUCGAAGCCCCGGUAAACGGCGGCCGUAACUAUAACGGUCCUAAGGUAGCGAAAUUCCUUGUCGGGUAAGUUCCGACCUGCACGAAUGGCGUAAUGAUGGCCAGGCUGUCUCCACCCGAGACUCAGUGAAAUUGAACUCGCUGUGAAGAUGCAGUGUACCCGCGGCAAGACGGAAAGACCCCGUGAACCUUUACUAUAGCUUGACACUGAACAUUGAGCCUUGAUGUGUAGGAUAGGUGGGAGGCUUUGAAGUGUGGACGCCAGUCUGCAUGGAGCCGACCUUGAAAUACCACCCUUUAAUGUUUGAUGUUCUAACGUGGACCCGUAAUCCGGGUUGCGGACAGUGUCUGGUGGGUAGUUUGACUGGGGCGGUCUCCUCCUAAAGAGUAACGGAGGAGCACGAAGGUUGGCUAAUCCUGGUCGGACAUCAGGAGGUUAGUGCAAUGGCAUAAGCCAGCUUGACUGCGAGCGUGACGGCGCGAGCAGGUGCGAAAGCAGGUCAUAGUGAUCCGGUGGUUCUGAAUGGAAGGGCCAUCGCUCAACGGAUAAAAGGUACUCCGGGGAUAACAGGCUGAUACCGCCCAAGAGUUCAUAUCGACGGCGGUGUUUGGCACCUCGAUGUCGGCUCAUCACAUCCUGGGGCUGAAGUAGGUCCCAAGGGUAUGGCUGUUCGCCAUUUAAAGUGGUACGCGAGCUGGGUUUAGAACGUCGUGAGACAGUUCGGUCCCUAUCUGCCGUGGGCGCUGGAGAACUGAGGGGGGCUGCUCCUAGUACGAGAGGACCGGAGUGGACGCAUCACUGGUGUUCGGGUUGUCAUGCCAAUGGCACUGCCCGGUAGCUAAAUGCGGAAGAGAUAAGUGCUGAAAGCAUCUAAGCACGAAACUUGCC
Molecule: ribosomal RNA, 2411 nt
Filed under: Escherichia coli
Lineage: Bacteria; Pseudomonadati; Pseudomonadota; Gammaproteobacteria; Enterobacterales; Enterobacteriaceae
Description: partial 23S ribosomal RNA
Rfam family: Bacterial large subunit ribosomal RNA
Source: RNAcentral